Molecule: ribosomal RNA, 280 nt
Filed under: uncultured bacterium
Lineage: Bacteria
Description: partial 16S ribosomal RNA
Rfam family: Bacterial small subunit ribosomal RNA
Source: RNAcentral
AUUGAACGCUGGCGGCAGGCCUAACACAUGCAAGUCGAGCGGCAGCACGGGAAGCUUGCUUCCUGGUGGCGAGCGGCGGACGGGUGAGUAAUGCAUGGGAAUCUGCCCGAUAGUGGGGGAUAACGUGUGGAAACGCACGCUAAUACCGCAUACGUCCUACGGGAGAAAGGAGGGGAUCUUCGGACCUUUCGCUAUCGGAUGAGCCCAUGUUGGAUUAGCUAGUUGGUGAGGUAAUGGCUCACCAAGGCAACGAUCCAUAGCUGGUCUGAGAGGAUGAUCA